AUGCGCAAGGAAUCCGGAUCGUCGAGUGGACAAGCCGGAGGAGAUACGCGUUUGAAGGGUGUGCUUUAAAGGUGAGGUGGAUCUUAACCCGGAUGGCGAUCAAGAAUAUUUUCGAGAACCGAACACUGCACGUUGAAGCUUCCGCGCUUACCUAGUCUUGUCAAAAACAAUGCUUUAUAUUGUAUUUACUUGAUUUGAUAUUU
RNAcentral lists this long non-coding RNA (203 nucleotides) under Helianthus annuus (common sunflower). RNAcentral describes it as "sRNA HanXRQr2_Chr13g0589731". The record is from RNAcentral. Lineage: Eukaryota; Viridiplantae; Streptophyta; Magnoliopsida; Asterales; Asteraceae.